RNAcentral lists this ribosomal RNA (253 nucleotides) under uncultured bacterium. RNAcentral describes it as "partial 16S ribosomal RNA". It matches the Rfam family "Bacterial small subunit ribosomal RNA", at positions 524 to 776 of the family's 1533-position model. The record is from RNAcentral.
GACGUAGGGGGCAAGCGUUGUCCGGAAUCAUUGGGCGUAAAGCGCGUGUAGGCGGCUUGGUAAGUCCGUUCUGAAAGCCCGGGGCUCAACCCCGGGAGGCGGAUGGAUACUGUCGAGCUUGAGUCCGGAAGAGGCGAGUGGAAUUCCCGGUGUAGCGGUGAAAUGCGCAGAUAUCGGGAGGAACACCAAUGGCGAAGGCAGCUCGCUGGGACGGUACUGACGCUGAGACGCGAAAGCGUGGGGAGCAAACAGG